This is a non-coding RNA of Arachis ipaensis, 382 nucleotides long. The record is from RefSeq and is a predicted model, not a curated record. NCBI's taxonomy places the organism in Eukaryota, Viridiplantae, Streptophyta, Magnoliopsida, Fabales, Fabaceae.
AGUGGUCAGAUUCUUUUUCAGAAUUUGUAUUGUUUCCAGGAGAUAAUUCUUCCAAGGAGAUUGAUGAAUGUCUCCUCAAGCUUAUUGUUGCCAUGGGACCAUCAAGGUCUAGUAUCCUUGGAGAGGUCACUGUUAAUAUGGCAAGUUAUGUGAGUUCAAAUGCUGAAUCUCCACUUUCACUCAAGCUGGGUAAGUGGCAACCAUGGGACAGUUUUACAUGUCAGAUAUACAAAUAAAGUUAUCUUACUUUUAUUGAGUGCAGAAUGGUUGUGUUACUGUGGUUGGUUACGCUGGGAUUUAAUUGUAGUCAACUUUGGGGGAAAAGUAACAUUGGAAAUCUGGAAUAUAUUGCUGAGUAUUGAAUGUAUCUUAUUAAUUCCAA